This 376-nucleotide unclassified non-coding RNA is filed under the name uncultured bacterium. RNAcentral describes it as "contains 16S-23S intergenic spacer region". The record is from RNAcentral.
UCCGGUUUGUCACCGGCAGUCUCCUAUGAGUCCCCGACAUUACUCGCUGGCAACAUAGAACAGGGGUUGCGCUCGUUGCGGGACUUAAGCCAACACCUCACGGCACGAGCUGACGACAGCCAUGCAGCACCUGUGCUAGCCCUAUAACGACACGGGCUUUCACCCGCUUUAACUAGCAUGUCAAACCCAGGUAAGGUUCUUCGCGUUGCAUCGAAUUAAGCCACAUGCUCCGCCGCUUGUGCGGGCCCCCGUCAAUUCCUUUGAGUUUCAACCUUGCGGUCGUACUCCCCAGGCGGAGUGCUUAAUGCGUUAGCUGCAGCACUAAAGGGCGGAAACCCUCUAACACUUAGCACUCAUCGUUUACGGCGUGGACUAC